GUGAGGAAUAUUGCGCAAUGGAGGCAACUCUGACGCAGCCAUGCCGCGUGCAGGAAGAAGGCGCUACGCGUUGUAAACUGCUUUUAACCGGGAAGAAACCCCAGGACGUGUCCUGGGUUGACGGUACCGGAGGAAUAAGCACCGGCUAACUUCGUGCCAGCAGCCGCGGUAAUACGAAGGGUGCAAGCGUUAUCCGGAUUCAUUGGGUUUAAAGGGUGCGUAGGCGGAGCGUUAAGUCAGUGGCGAAAUCCUGCAGCUUAACUGUAGACUUGCCAUUGAUACUGGCGCUCUUGAGUGCGCUUGAAGUGGGCGGAAUGUGCCGUGUAGCGGUGAAAUGCUUAGAUAUGGCACAGAACACCAAUUGCGAAGGCAGCUCACUAAGGCGAUACUGACGCUGAGGCACGAAAGCGUGGGGAUCGAACAGGAUUAGAUACCCUUGUAGUCC
RNAcentral lists this ribosomal RNA (445 nucleotides) under uncultured bacterium. Its description in RNAcentral is "partial 16S ribosomal RNA". It matches the Rfam family "Bacterial small subunit ribosomal RNA", at positions 354 to 796 of the family's 1533-position model. The record is from RNAcentral.